Molecule: ribosomal RNA, 468 nt
Filed under: uncultured bacterium
Lineage: Bacteria
Description: partial 16S ribosomal RNA
Rfam family: Bacterial small subunit ribosomal RNA
Source: RNAcentral
GACGAACGCUGGCGGCGUGCUUAACACAUGCAAGUCGAACGGAAAGGCCCUGCUUUUGUGGGGUGCUCGAGUGGCGAACGGGUGAGUAACACGUGAGUAACCUGCCCUUGACGUUGGGAUAACUGCAGGAAACUGGGGCUAAUACCGGAUAGGAGCUCCUGCUGCAUGGUGGGGGUUGGAAAGUUUCGGCGGUGGGGGAUGGACUCGCGGCUUAUCAGCUUGUUGGUGGGGUAGUGGCUUACCAAGGCUUUGACGGGUAGCCGGCCUGGGAGGGUGACCGGCCACAUUGGGACUGAGAUACGGCCCAGACUCCUACGGGAGGCAGCAGUGGGGAAUAUUGCACAAUGGGCGGAAGCCUGAUGCAGCAACGCCGCGUGCGGGAUGACGGCCUUCGGGUUGUAAACCGCUUUCGCCUGUGACGAAGCGUGAGUGACGGUAAUGGGUAAAGAAGCACCGGCUAACUACGUG